RNAcentral lists this long non-coding RNA (1790 nucleotides) under Homo sapiens (human). RNAcentral's name for it is "HSALNT0370732". Lineage: Eukaryota; Metazoa; Chordata; Mammalia; Primates; Hominidae. The record is from RNAcentral.
AGAGAAAGAAGUGCGGGCGGCCGGGCUCCCCGGCGGGCGGCGGACUGCCGGCCCGUGGCUGCCGUGGGCUGCCCCUCGUGGCCGCCCCGCCCCCUCGCGGUGCACUGAUCGUGGCGGGGCGGGACCGUGGGUCCCGGGCGCGCCCGUGGUGGCCGCGGAGGAGGGCGCGGGACCCCCGGCCUGUGCCCUCGCAGCCCAGGCCGGCUGGCGUGGCGCGGCGGCCGCGAUGUGGGCCAGGCAGCGGGUCCGAGUGCCCUGGGGAAUGUGUCCUCAGAGGCUCGCGCCGCCGUCCGCCUUUUGCAGAGGAGAAAACUAAAGCACAAAGGGAUUAAAUCACUUGCCCGAGGUCGCACACUUGGGAAGAGGAGUCCAGAUUCGAACCCGCGCACAGUGAAGCCAAGCUCUUGGACAAGGUUUCACAGGCUUCGCCCAGGGAUAUUCACGGCUGCCAUAGACGGAGCGCUUACUGUGUUCCAGACACUGCACUGUGCUAAGGCCGUGUUGGGAGCAGACCCUUCUUCCUGGCGUCAUUCAUUGGAUAACCAACAUUUCCUGAGUGUAUAUGGCCUGGGAGUCCGGAGGAGUGCUGCUAUGAAGAGAAGCUCUCCCAGUCCUCAAGAAAUGGAUCCCCGAAAAGGGGGAGGAGAAAACAAUGUCUUCACUAAUACGCCUCCAAACAUGGAACAAUCAGCUGUUUCAGGUAGAUUAAGCUAAAAGAGGAAGAGUGGAUGGCUGGCACAGUGGCUCACGCCGGUAAUCCUAGCCGAGGUUUAAGACCAGCCUGAGCAAUGUAGCAAGAACCCCCGUCAUGACAAAAAAAAUAAAAUACAAAAAUACAAAAAUUAGCCAGGCGUAGUGUGGCAUGUGCCUGUAGCCCUAGCUACUCGAAAGGCUGAGGUGGGAGGAUAACUUGAGCCCUGGAGGCAGAGGCUGCAGUGAGCCCAGUGAGCCGAGGUCGCAUCACCGUACUCCAGCCUGAGUGACAGAGAGAGGCCCUGUCUCAAAAAAAAAAAAAAAAAAAAAAAGGAAGAGUAGAAAGCAGGGAAGAGAUGAGAGUGUAUAAUAAGAGAAGUCUUAAGACACGUGAACUGAGUUUUGGAACUACCACAAAUACUGCUAAAGCAAAACUCAUGAGCAACAUGUUAUAAUGUGUAUUAUCAUGCAACAUAUUGUUACAAUGAAUGUCGUUACCUACAUUAUUUCACAUAAUCCGCAGAACAACCACCUAAAGUAGAUACUGUUAUUAUUCUUAGGCUGUAAUUAGGUAAAACUCAGAGGUGUGCAGUGACAUCUCCAAUCUCUCAGUUAGUACAUGGCUCAAACUCAGGUCCUUCUGACUCCAGAGCCCGAGCAUGAAUUCAGGAGGCUCCUUAGAAAGAUGCCUCUGGCUGGCUUUGCCAUCCCUCUAAUUGCAUUAUUUUGACCAACAUAGUUUAACUCUUUGAGCCUCAUUUCCUAAUCUCAAAAAUUGAUCCUGAUUGCUGACCCAAUGACCUCAGGCCAAUAUUGAGAAUUUCUAUUAAGAUACUGUUGAUGAGCGGAUGCAGUCGCUCACGCUUGUAAUCCGUGCACUUUGGAAGGCCAAGGCGGGCAGACCAACUGAGGUGAGGAGCUCGAGACCAGCCUGGCCAACAUGAUGAAACCCUGUCUCUACUAAAAAUACUAAAAAUACAAAAAUUAGCCGGGUGUGGUGGCGUGUGCCCGUAGUCCCAGCUGCUUGGGAGGCUGAGACAAGAGAAUCGUUUGAACCCAGGAAGCAGAGGUUGCAGUGAGCAGAGAUUGCACCACUA